AUUGAACGCUGGCGGCAUGCCUUACACAUGCAAGUCGAACGGCAGCACGGGAGCAAUCCUGGUGGCGAGUGGCGAACGGGUGAGUAAAGUAUCGGAACGUGCCCAGUCGUGGGGGAUAACGUAGCGAAAGUUACGCUAAUACCGCAUACGAUCUAUGGAUGAAAGCGGGGGAUCGCAAGACCUCGCGCGAUUGGAGCGGCCGAUAUCAUAUUAGGUAGUUGGUGGGGUAAAGGCUCACCAAGCCGACGAUCCGUAGCUGGUCUGAGGGGACGACCAGCCACACUGGGACUGAGACACGGCCCAGACUCCUACGGGAGGCAGCAGUGGGGAAUUUUGGACAAUGGGCGAAAGCCUGAUCCAGCCAUGCCGCGUGCAGGAUGAAGGCCUUCGGGUUGUAAACUGCUUUUGUACGGAACGAAAAGGUUUGGCCUAAUAAGCUGAGCUCAUGACGGUACCGUAAGAAUAAGCACCGGCUAACUACGUGCCAGCAGCCGCAGUAA
This 500-nucleotide ribosomal RNA is filed under the name uncultured bacterium. RNAcentral's name for it is "partial 16S ribosomal RNA". It matches the Rfam family "Bacterial small subunit ribosomal RNA", at positions 30 to 523 of the family's 1533-position model. The record is from RNAcentral.